GCGGAUGUGGCGAAAUUGGCAGACGCGCAGGUUUCAGGUUCCUGUGAGAGAUCAUAUGGGUUCGAGUCCCUUCAUCCGCACCA
This 83-nucleotide transfer RNA is filed under the name Clostridia bacterium. RNAcentral's name for it is "tRNA-Leu". It matches the Rfam family "tRNA". Rfam says of the family: Transfer RNA (tRNA) molecules are approximately 80 nucleotides in length. Their secondary structure includes four short double-helical elements and three loops (D, anti-codon, and T loops). Lineage: Bacteria; Bacillati; Bacillota; Clostridia. The record is from RNAcentral.